This 1530-nucleotide ribosomal RNA is filed under the name Escherichia coli. RNAcentral describes it as "bacterial SSU rRNA". It matches the Rfam family "Bacterial small subunit ribosomal RNA". Lineage: Bacteria; Pseudomonadati; Pseudomonadota; Gammaproteobacteria; Enterobacterales; Enterobacteriaceae. The record is from RNAcentral.
AGAGUUUGAUCAUGGCUCAGAUUGAACGCUGGCGGCAGGCCUAACACAUGCAAGUCGAACGGUAACAGGAAGCAGCUUGCUGCUUCGCUGACGAGUGGCGGACGGGUGAGUAAUGUCUGGGAAACUGCCUGAUGGAGGGGGAUAACUACUGGAAACGGUAGCUAAUACCGCAUAAUGUCGCAAGACCAAAGAGGGGGACCUUCGGGCCUCUUGUCAUCGGAUGCGCCCAGAUGGGAUUAGCUUGUUGGUGGGGUAACGGCUCACCAAGGCGACGAUCCCUAGCUGGUCUGAGAGGAUGACCAGCCACACUGGAACUGAGACACGGUCCAGACUCCUACGGGAGGCAGCAGUGGGGAAUAUUGCACAAUGGGCGCAAGCCUGAUGCAGCCAUGCCGCGUGUAUGAAGAAGGCCUUCGGGUUGUAAAGUACUUUCAGCGGGGAGGAAGGGAGUAAAGUUAAUACCUUUGCUCAUUGACGUUACCCGCAGAAGAAGCACCGGCUAACUCCGUGCCAGCAGCCGCGGUAAUACGGAGGGUGCAAGCGUUAAUCGGAAUUACUGGGCGUAAAGCGCACGCAGGCGGUUUGUUAAGUCAGAUGUGAAAUCCCCGGGCUCAACCUGGGAACUGCAUCUGAUACUGGCAAGCUUGAGUCUCGUAGAGGGGGGUAGAAUUCCAGGUGUAGCGGUGAAAUGCGUAGAGAUCUGGAGGAAUACCGGUGGCGAAGGCGGCCCCCUGGACGAAGACUGACGCUCAGGUGCGAAAGCGUGGGGAGCAAACAGGAUUAGAUACCCUGGUAGUCCACGCCGUAAACGAUGUCGACUUGGAGGUUGUGCCCUUGAGGCGUGGCUUCCGGAGCUAACGCGUUAAGUCGACCGCCUGGGGAGUACGGCCGCAAGGUUAAAACUCAAAUGAAUUGACGGGGGCCCGCACAAGCGGUGGAGCAUGUGGUUUAAUUCGAUGCAACGCGAAGAACCUUACCUGGUCUUGACAUCCACGGAAGUUUUCAGAGAUGAGAAUGUGCCUUCGGGAACCGUGAGACAGGUGCUGCAUGGCUGUCGUCAGCUCGUGUUGUGAAAUGUUGGGUUAAGUCCCGCAACGAGCGCAACCCUUAUCCUUUGUUGCCAGCGGUCCGGCCGGGAACUCAAAGGAGACUGCCAGUGAUAAACUGGAGGAAGGUGGGGAUGACGUCAAGUCAUCAUGGCCCUUACGACCAGGGCUACACACGUGCUACAAUGGCGCAUACAAAGAGAAGCGACCUCGCGAGAGCAAGCGGACCUCAUAAAGUGCGUCGUAGUCCGGAUUGGAGUCUGCAACUCGACUCCAUGAAGUCGGAAUCGCUAGUAAUCGUGGAUCAGAAUGCCACGGUGAAUACGUUCCCGGGCCUUGUACACACCGCCCGUCACACCAUGGGAGUGGGUUGCAAAAGAAGUAGGUAGCUUAACCUUCGGGAGGGCGCUUACCACUUUGUGAUUCAUGACUGGGGUGAAGUCGUAACAAGGUAACCGUAGGGGAACCUGCGGUUGGAUCACCU